GAACGCUGGCGGCGUGGAUUAGGCAUGCAAGUCGAACGGUAUCAUCCUUUCGGGGGUGAGAGAGUGGCGAACUGGUGAGUAACACGUAGGUUAUCUACCCUCAAGACGGGGACAACCCAGGGGAAACUUGGGCUAAUACCGGAUGUGAGCAACUUUUAGUUGUUUGAAAGGUGGCGUAAGCUGUCGCUUGGGGAUGAGCCUGCGUCCUAUUAGUUAGUUGGUGAGGUAACGGCUCACCUAGGCAAUGAUAGGUAGGCGGCCUUAACGGGUGGUCGCCCACACUGGGAUUGAGAUACGGCCCAGACUCCUACGGGAGGCAGCAGUCGAGAAUAGUCUACAAUGGUCGGAAGACUGAUAGUGCGACGCCGCGUGAACGAUGAAUCCCUUCGGGGUGUAAAGUUCUUUUAUAUGUGAGCAGUGCUUUCUAUGUGAACAGCAUGGGGAGAGAGAUAUUAGCAUAUGAAUAAGCAACGGCUAACUCCGUG
This 485-nucleotide ribosomal RNA is filed under the name uncultured bacterium. RNAcentral's name for it is "bacterial SSU rRNA". It matches the Rfam family "Bacterial small subunit ribosomal RNA", at positions 31 to 507 of the family's 1533-position model. The record is from RNAcentral.